ACUGAUUGAUGGUGCUUGCACCUGAUUGACGAUGGAUCACCAGUGAGUGGCGGACGGGUGAGUAACACGUAGGUAACCUGCCCCGGAGCGGGGGAUAACAUUUGGAAACAGAUGCUAAUACCGCAUAACAACAAAAGCCACAUGGCUUUUGUUUGAAAGAUGGCUUUGGCUAUCACUCUGGGAUGGACCUGCGGUGCAUUAGCUAGUUGGUAAGGUAACGGCUUACCAAGGCGAUGAUGCAUAGCCGAGUUGAGAGACUGAUCGGCCACAAUGGAACUGAGACACGGUCCAUACUCCUACGGGAGGCAGCAGUAGGGAAUCUUCCACAAUGGGCGCAAGCCUGAUGGAGCAA
RNAcentral lists this ribosomal RNA (352 nucleotides) under Limosilactobacillus reuteri. RNAcentral describes it as "bacterial SSU rRNA". It matches the Rfam family "Bacterial small subunit ribosomal RNA", at positions 45 to 394 of the family's 1533-position model. The record is from RNAcentral. Lineage: Bacteria; Bacillati; Bacillota; Bacilli; Lactobacillales; Lactobacillaceae.